This is a non-coding RNA of Paralichthys olivaceus (Japanese flounder), 271 nucleotides long. Lineage: Eukaryota; Metazoa; Chordata; Actinopteri; Pleuronectiformes; Paralichthyidae. The record is from RefSeq and is a predicted model, not a curated record.
GACAUGUGUUGGCCCCUCCUCUCCCUCGGCUGAGCUGCGCUGCUGAGUUGAAGCGCAACAGCCCCGAGAGCGCAGCAGCGACUUCACCGCUGCGACUUUGAUGACGGCGGGUUUGGAAGCCGUCGAUGAGCGCGUUUGAAGAGGCUUGCUGGUGAAGACAAGGGGGGACGAGAAUCGAACCUGUGGCUCCCUCUCUGCCGGUCGUUUUAAAAAAUGAAAUUCCUGAUCUGUGUGGUCGCGGUCGCCUUGGCUGUGAGAUCUGCGCACGGGG